GUCCAGGAAGGGGAAACAAACCCACAGUGUUCCGCUUACCGGGCAGAUGCCAUGUCCACUAGGCUACCCUGGA
This 73-nucleotide transfer RNA is filed under the name Cordylochernes scorpioides. RNAcentral's name for it is "tRNA-Thr". Lineage: Eukaryota; Metazoa; Arthropoda; Arachnida; Pseudoscorpiones; Chernetidae. The record is from RNAcentral.